RNAcentral lists this ribosomal RNA (163 nucleotides) under Bupleurum sikangense. RNAcentral's name for it is "5.8S ribosomal RNA". It matches the Rfam family "5.8S ribosomal RNA". From Rfam's summary of the family: 5.8S ribosomal RNA (5.8S rRNA) is a component of the large subunit of the eukaryotic ribosome. Lineage: Eukaryota; Viridiplantae; Streptophyta; Magnoliopsida; Apiales; Apiaceae. The record is from RNAcentral.
AAACGACUCUCGGCAACGGAUAUCCCGGCUCUCGCAUCGAUGAAGAACGUAGCGAAAUGCGAUACUUGGUGUGAAUUGCAGAAUCCCGUGAACCAUCGAGUCUUUGAACGCAAGUUGCGCCCGAUGCCAUUAGGCUGAGGGCACGUCUGCCUGGGUGUCACGU